Molecule: ribosomal RNA, 1466 nt
Filed under: uncultured Bordetella sp.
Lineage: Bacteria; Pseudomonadati; Pseudomonadota; Betaproteobacteria; Burkholderiales; Alcaligenaceae
Description: partial 16S-23S ribosomal RNA intergenic spacer
Rfam family: Bacterial small subunit ribosomal RNA
Source: RNAcentral
GAGUCGACUGGUCAGGAUUGAACGCUGGCGGGAUGCUUUACACAUGCAAACAGAAAACGCAGCACGGACUUCGGUCUGCGGGCGAGUGGCGAAUCGGUGAGUAGGCAUUAUCGGAACGUGCCUAGUAGCGGGGGAUAAUCUAGCGAAAGCGUAGCCAAUACCGCAUACUGCCCUUCGGGGGAAAGCGGGGACCUUCGGGCUCCACUGCUGAGCGCUGAUAUCGAUUAGCUAGUUGGUGGGGUAACGCUCACCAGGGUGGCGACGAUCCGUAGCUGGUUUGAGAGGACGACCAGCCACACUGGGAUCUGAGACACGGCCCAGACUCCUACGGAGCAGUGGGGAAUUUUGGACAAUGGGGAACCUGAUCCAGCCAUCCUGUGCAAAGAUGAAGGCCCUUCGGGUUGUAAAGCACUUUGCAGGAAGAAACGGCACGGGAUAAUACCCCGUGCAACUGAUCCCGGUACCUGGAGAAUAAGCGGCACCGGCUAACCACGCCAGCAGCCGCGGUAAUACGUAGGGUGCAAGCGUUAAUCGGAAUUACUGGCGUAAAGCGUGCAGGCGUGGUUCGGAGAAAGAUGAAAUCCCAGAGCUGAACUUUGGGAACUGCAUUUUUAACUACCGAGCUAGAGUGUGUCAGAGGGAGGUGGAAUUCCGCGUGUAGCAGUGAAAUGCGUAAGAUAUGCGGAGGAACACCGGCUUAUGAAGGCAGCCUGGGAUAACACUGACGCUCAUGCACGAAAGCGUGGGAGCAAACAGGAUUAGAUACUCCGGUAGUCCACGCCUCAAACGAUGUCAACUAGCUGUUGGGGCCUUCGGGCCUGGUAGCGCGUGCCAUCAGUGAAGCUGAUCCGCCUGGGGAGUACGGUCGCAAGAUUAAAACUCAAAGGAAUUGACGGGGACUCGCACAAGCGGUGGAUGAUGUGGAUUAAUUCGAUGCAACGCGAAAAAACCUUACCUACCCUUGACAUGUCUGGAAUCCCGGAAGAGAUUUGGAGUGCUCGUACAGAAUCAAACACAGGUGCUGCAUGGCUGUCGUAGCUCGUGUCGUGAGAUGUUGGGUUAAGUCCUGCAACGAGCGCAACCCUUGUCAUUAGUUAAGCAUGAAAGGGCACUCUAAUGAGACUGCCGGUACAAAUCCGGAGGAAGGUGGGAUGACGUCAAGUCCUCAUGGCCUUUAUGGUAGGGCUUUCCACACGUCAUACAAUGGUUUCGACAGAGGGUCGCCAACCCAUGAGGGGAGUCAAUCCCAGAAACCCGAUCGUAGUCCGGACGCAGUCUGCAACUCGACUGCGUGAAGUCGGAAUCGCUAGUAAUCGCGGAUCAGUACGUCGGUGAAUACGUUCCCGGGUCUUGUACACACCGCCCGUCACACUAUGGGGAGGCUUUACCAGAAGUAGUUAGCCUAACCGUAAGGAGGGCGAUUACCACGGUAGGAUUCAUGACUGGGUGAAGUCGUAACAAGGCAC